RNAcentral lists this ribosomal RNA (398 nucleotides) under Bacillus sp. Iso-36. RNAcentral describes it as "bacterial SSU rRNA". It matches the Rfam family "Bacterial small subunit ribosomal RNA", at positions 91 to 474 of the family's 1533-position model. The record is from RNAcentral. Lineage: Bacteria; Bacillati; Bacillota; Bacilli; Caryophanales; Bacillaceae.
GUUAGCGGCGGACGGGUGAGUAACACGUGGGUAACCUGCCCAUAAGACUGGGAUAACUCCGGGAAACCGGGGCUAAUACCGGAUAACAUUUUGAACCGCAUGGUUCGAAAUUGAAAGGCGGCUUCGGCUGUCACUUAUGGAUGGACCCGCGUCGCAUUAGCUAGUUGGUGAGGUAACGGCUCACCAAGGCAACGAUGCGUAGCCGACCUGAGAGGGUGAUCGGCCACACUGGGACUGAGACACGGCCCAGACUCCUACGGGAGGCAGCAGUAGGGAAUCUUCCGCAAUGGACGAAAGUCUGACGGAGCAACGCCGCGUGAGUGAUGAAGGCUUUCGGGUCGUAAAACUCUGUUGUUAGGGAAGAACAAGUGCUAGUUGAAUAAGCUGGCACCUUGACG